CCUAGAGUUGUAGGCUUUGCCUGCUAUCUCUUACCCAUGUCUUUUGAGUACCUUACGUCUCCUCGGUGGGUUCGCCCACCGAUUGGACAAAUUUAAACCCUUUGCAGUUGAAAUCAGCGUCUGAAAAAACUUAAUAGUUA
This 140-nucleotide unclassified non-coding RNA is filed under the name soil metagenome. Its description in RNAcentral is "partial internal transcribed spacer 1". The record is from RNAcentral.